Molecule: small nucleolar RNA, 138 nt
Organism: Ornithorhynchus anatinus (platypus)
Lineage: Eukaryota; Metazoa; Chordata; Mammalia; Monotremata; Ornithorhynchidae
Source: RefSeq, a predicted model, not a curated record
GCCCUCUCAGGGUCGCACUUGGGGAGUUUCCAAUACUCUACCAGUCUUGGUUAUGGGAGGGAGAAUCAUGCAGACGAAUACCUAUUCCAGUCCUAGCUUGGGCAAUGGCUAGUGAGUGGAAGGCAAUCUGCUACUAGU